This 494-nucleotide ribosomal RNA is filed under the name uncultured bacterium. RNAcentral's name for it is "partial 16S ribosomal RNA". It matches the Rfam family "Bacterial small subunit ribosomal RNA", at positions 28 to 507 of the family's 1533-position model. The record is from RNAcentral.
GACGAACGCUGGCGGCGUGCUUAACACAUGCAAGUCGAACGGAAAGGCCUGCUUUCCCUUGUGGAUUGCGGGUACUCGAGUGGCGAACGGGUGAGUAACACGUGAGUGAUCUGCCCCCAACUUGGGUAUAAGCCUGGGAAACUGGGUCUAAUUCCCGAUAGGACUGCAGGGUGGUGCCUGUGGUGGAAACGGAUUUUCUAGUGGUUGGGGAUGAGCUCGCGGCCUAUCAGCUUGUUGGUGGGGUAAUGGCCUACCAAGGCGGCGACGGGUAGCCGGCCUGAGAGGGUGGACGGCCACAUUGGGACUGAGAUACGGCCCAGACUCCUACGGGAGGCAGCAGUGGGGAAUAUUGCACAAUGGGCGGAAGCCUGAUGCAGCGACGCCGCGUGGGGGAUGACGGCCUUCGGGUUGUAAACUCCUUUCGACCGCGAGGAAGCCACCUGGUUGGAAGGGUGGUGACGGUAGUGGUAGAAGAAGCACCGGCUAACUACGUG